UUAGGUCCAUGCUGAAUGAUAAUAACCCAAGAUUAUAACAUAGUUUUGAAGGUAGAGAGGGAGAAGAAAGGUUGGACACUAAACAUAAUAUGAAAACUUGUACACGUAUCCAGUGCCUCUUUAAUUUCUCAGGAUUCCCAGGCAUCACGUCAUCUGCUCCUGAUGUUCAACCAUUGACAUCAUCAAGGCUUAAUGAUCUGGGAAUCACCUGAAGCUAAUGAUCCUCCUGACAUAUUGUCAGAAGAUCAAUAUGUCCAGUGCUACGUCAUGAUGCCUACAUCAUUCACCUCACCUCAUUUCAUCAGGCAUCCACUGAGGGGUCUUGGAACGUGUCCCCCAUGGAUAAGGGGAGAAGACUACUGUACUAGUGAAAUCCUUAUACAUUUGUGUAAUUGAUCAAAUCUUUAACCAGUGUUUUGCUGUUGAAACUCUAGAAAC
Long non-coding RNA from Physeter macrocephalus (sperm whale), 438 nucleotides. RefSeq lists it as uncharacterized. The record is from RefSeq and is a predicted model, not a curated record. Lineage: Eukaryota; Metazoa; Chordata; Mammalia; Artiodactyla; Physeteridae. The transcript has 4 exons.